UAUCUCUCCGUACGGGGAAGGAUGAGAAGCUUCGACUAAGGUUCGAUUCGAGCGCAGCGAGAAAGCGUUGCCGCAGGCAACGACCCG
Molecule: small RNA, 87 nt
Filed under: Salmonella enterica
Lineage: Bacteria; Pseudomonadati; Pseudomonadota; Gammaproteobacteria; Enterobacterales; Enterobacteriaceae
Also listed under: 4 other names
Description: partial RtT sRNA
Rfam family: RtT RNA
About the family: This family represents a bacterial cis-regulatory element known as RtT RNA. The exact function of RtT is unknown although it is thought that it may be involved in changing the cellular response in relation to amino acid starvation.
Source: RNAcentral